Molecule: ribosomal RNA, 98 nt
Filed under: Dicrocoelium dendriticum
Lineage: Eukaryota; Metazoa; Platyhelminthes; Trematoda; Plagiorchiida; Dicrocoeliidae
Description: partial 5.8S ribosomal RNA
Rfam family: 5.8S ribosomal RNA
About the family: 5.8S ribosomal RNA (5.8S rRNA) is a component of the large subunit of the eukaryotic ribosome. It is transcribed by RNA polymerase I as part of the 45S precursor that also contains 18S and 28S rRNA. Functionally, it is thought that 5.8S rRNA may be involved in ribosome translocation.
Source: RNAcentral
GAAUUAAUGUGAACUGCAUACUGCUUUGAACAUCGACAUCUUGAACGCAUAUUGCGGCCAUGGGUUAGCCUGUGGCCACGCCUGUCCGAGGGUCGGCU